Molecule: ribosomal RNA, 218 nt
Filed under: uncultured bacterium
Lineage: Bacteria
Description: partial 16S ribosomal RNA
Rfam family: Bacterial small subunit ribosomal RNA
Source: RNAcentral
UACGUAGGGUGCGAGCGUUAAUCGGAAUUACUGGGCGUAAAGCGUGCGCAGGCGGUCUGUUAAGACAGAUGUGAAAUCCCCGGGCUUAACCUGGGAACUGCAUUGGUGACUGGCAGGCUUUGAGUGUGGCAGAGGGAGGUAGAAUUCCACGUGUAGCAGUGAAAUGCGUAGAGAUGUGGAGGAAUACCGAUGGCGAAGGCAGCCUCCUGGGCCGAACA